CGGCGGACGGGUGAGUAACGCGUGGGUAACCUACCUCAUACAGGGGGAUAACAGUUGGAAACGGCUGCUAAUACCGCAUAAGCGCACAGUACCGCAUGGUACCGUGUGAAAAACUCCGGUGGUAUGAGAUGGACCCGCGCCUGAUUAGCUAGUUGGUGGGGUAACGGCCUACCAAGGCGACGAUCAGUAGCCGACCUGAGAGGGUGACCGGCCACAUUGGGACUGAGACACGGCCCAA
RNAcentral lists this ribosomal RNA (238 nucleotides) under uncultured bacterium. RNAcentral describes it as "partial 16S ribosomal RNA". It matches the Rfam family "Bacterial small subunit ribosomal RNA", at positions 96 to 334 of the family's 1533-position model. The record is from RNAcentral.